RNAcentral lists this ribosomal RNA (254 nucleotides) under uncultured prokaryote. RNAcentral's name for it is "partial 16S ribosomal RNA". It matches the Rfam family "Bacterial small subunit ribosomal RNA", at positions 524 to 777 of the family's 1533-position model. The record is from RNAcentral.
UACGGAGGAUCCGAGCGUUAUCCGGAUUUAUUGGGUUUAAAGGGUGCGCAGGCGGGAGAUUAAGUCGGUGGUGAAAUUUUGCAGCUCAACUGUAAAAGUGCCAUUGAUACUGGGGAGCUAGGAUUUGGUUGCUGUGGGUGGAAUGUGUGGUGUAGCGGUGAAAUGCUUAGAGAUCACACAGAAUAUCGAUUGCGAAGGCAGCUCACAAAGCCAAGAUUGACGCUGAGGCACGAAAGUGUGGGGAUCAAACAGGA